RNAcentral lists this unclassified non-coding RNA (231 nucleotides) under plant metagenome. RNAcentral describes it as "partial contains small subunit ribosomal RNA, internal transcribed spacer 1, and 5.8S ribosomal RNA". The record is from RNAcentral.
UCUCCGUUGGUGAACCAGCGGAGGGAUCAUUACAGAGUUGCAAAACUCCCAAACCAUUGUGAACGUUACCUAUCCCGUUGCUUCGGCGGGCGGCCCGGGCCCCGCGCCCGGCGCCCCCCGGUCCCCCGUGGGCGCCCGCCGGAGGUAAACCAAACCCUUGAAUUGCAUGGCCUCUCUGAGUCUUCUGUACUGAAUAAGUCAAAACUUUCAACAACGGAUCUCUUGGUUCUG